UCUAUGAUCUUAUUGUUCCUCUCUCUUGAACAUUUCUAUUUCAUGAAUUCAGGAAUUACUUCAUUAUGACUCAUCAAUUAUUCCCAACAAUGCUAAAAAUGAGUAAAAUGAUAAGAAAAUAGAAUAAUGAUGGAGUUGCCUGGAAGGAUGAUGCGAUUGCAGAAUAAACCUCCAUUCUCAUUAUCAUUCAGUUUUCUUAUUUUUUGACUAAAAUGUUGCAUCGUCAUUCAAGAACGCAUAAAAGAAGUCUGGAAACAUUCUUAUGAUCUACUUCUAGUUUCAUUGAGCACAGUUUAGAAUUUAGAAGUUCUAUGUUUCGUCCAUAACUCAAAAAGAAGAAAAUGGACAACGGAAGAUGUUUAGGUUAUUAGAUGAAUCAGAAGACAAAUGUAAAAAAGAGAGCUAAGUAUGCUAAACUUAAAUGAUUAGGGUGAAAUUGAAAUUAAUUGUUCAAAUGAAAUCUCAGACCAUGGAUUUUCAGAUGAAAUGAAUUUUCUCAAACUCAAGAAUCCAUGAGGGAACAAUUCAUUUCCAAGGACAAAAAUGAAAUAGGAUAUUCUCAUGCAGUUAGUCCUUCAACCAGAAGGAAUUUACCAUGCAAUAUUUUGCGGCAAGAACCUAACCUAUCUCAUUUUGUUUUAAGGGUAUAUUAUAAUACUUUUUCAUUUUUUAUAAAGUCUGUGUGCCAAAAUUUAUAGUUUUUAAGUACACAAAUGUUAAAGAAAGGUUAAGGCCAGUAUCAGAAUGAAAUCAAUUAUGUAUAAAUAAAAAAAAAACAAAACUCAUUGGAUUCAUCAUUCUAAAUAAUGUUUAAGAAUCUAAAAAUAAAAAUGUCUUGUAGUUAUGGAAUGGAGAUGACAUUGUCUUUUAACAAAAUUAUGUGCCUCAAAGAUUUGAAAAAGUUGACUGUUACAUUUUGAUAACGUAAAUUCUAAAUGAACCAGAAGUGAUACUAUGCUAGAACCUAUUAAAGAUGUGUUUGAAAUCUAGAAUUAGUAUCAAUUAGAUGUAUAUAUUGCAGGUUUAUUCAUGAUAUUGAUGGGCAGUUAGUUCCUUUCUGAAGAUGUUUCCAAUCUGGAGUAUAUACAUCUUCAAAAUCAGAAAAUUGAUGAAAUAAACUUUUAGUUUUGCUAUGUUUAAGUUCUUAUCACAAUUUUCACCCCUUUACUCUUACUUCUGUAAACCAUUUUUUAAAUGAUUUAAAAUAUUAAAAACACUAAGAGGUCCAAAUGGUAAGUAAAGAUAACUAUUGUUCCUAGUAUGCUGAGAUUAGCACUUACAUUUUCUAAACCUCUAUUGCAUACUUAUCAAUUUAUCCUUAGUUAUAAAGUUAUAUAUGCCAUGUCUUAUCUCUUUUCUGGACUAGCAGCUUGCAGAGGGGAUUCAACAGAUGUUUAUUGAGUUAACAUCAAAACUCCCAGAACUUUUAUUUUGUGAAAAUAAUGAGAUGUUUGGAAUUAAAGUGAGUAUGUUUUCAUGGAGCAGUAUUUUUUGGAGGAAAGUAAAGUAAGGCUGAGUCUUACCUAGUCUUCUACAUUAUAGCCAAUUGAGCUCUGAAAUACAUUAGAUUAAACCAUUAAAUAACGGUGACUAUAAUGCAAUUACAUUUGACCUCUUCUCAGCAGGAUCAAACCAAAAAUGCAGUUAGGCACAACUGAAGUUCAAGAAAAGGAUCUUAAUAAAAUGAGAGUACUCUUAUUCCUUGAGGCUCUAUUUCUAGCUGUGGACCUAAAAACCCAUAGAAUUGGAAUACAGACUGCCAAAGAAUACCUUAUUAUACUCAGAGAAGAUUUUGAUAGAGAUGAAAAGUUGAAAAAAAAGUGUUAAAAUGAUGAAGCAAAAGCAUACAUGGCCUAGUUCUUGUACUGGACAUUUAAAUUGAUUUCCUUAUCUACAAUAAAUAUAAAGAGGUCUGUAA
Leopardus geoffroyi (Geoffroy's cat) is the source of this 1918-nucleotide long non-coding RNA. RefSeq lists it as uncharacterized. The transcript is spliced from 2 exons. NCBI's taxonomy places the organism in Eukaryota, Metazoa, Chordata, Mammalia, Carnivora, Felidae. The record is from RefSeq and is a predicted model, not a curated record.